This 489-nucleotide ribosomal RNA is filed under the name uncultured bacterium. RNAcentral's name for it is "partial 16S ribosomal RNA". It matches the Rfam family "Bacterial small subunit ribosomal RNA", at positions 30 to 506 of the family's 1533-position model. The record is from RNAcentral.
AUUGAACGCUGGCGGCAGGCCUAACACAUGCAAGUCGAACGGUAACAGGAAGAAGCUUGCUUCUUUGCUGACGAGUGGCGGACGGGUGAGUAAUGUCUGGGAAACUGCCUGAUGGAGGGGGAUAACUACUGGAAACGGUAGCUAAUACCGCAUAACGUCGCAAGACCAAAGAGGGGGACCUUCGGGCCUCUUGCCAUCGGAUGUGCCCAGAUGGGAUUAGCUUGUUGGUGGGGUAACGGCUCACCAAGGCGACGAUCCCUAGCUGGUCUGAGAGGAUGACCCGCCACCCUGGAACUGAGCACCGGCCCAGACCCCUACGGGAGGCAGCAGGGGGGAAUAUUGCACAAUGGGCGCAAGCCUUAUGCAGCCAUGCCGCGUGUAUGAAGAAGGCCUUCGGGUUGUAAAGUUCUUUCGGGGGGGAGGAAGGGAGUAAAGUUAAUCCCUUUGCUCAUUGACGUUACCCGCAGAAGAAACCCCGGCUAACUCCGU